Mus musculus (house mouse) is the source of this 4557-nucleotide long non-coding RNA. RefSeq annotates it as predicted gene, 41559. Lineage: Eukaryota; Metazoa; Chordata; Mammalia; Rodentia; Muridae. The transcript is spliced from 3 exons. The record is from RefSeq and is a predicted model, not a curated record.
CCCCAAUACAUAAAGCUCAGCCUCUUGCAGCAUCCCUCCCGCCUGCCUUUUCUGGCCUAUGCCAGGGGCCAGGCAGUAAGAGACACACAAACUAAUUAAGAAGCAGAGUUUGGCUGGAUGCCUGGGCUGGCCUCACCAGGGAAUUAAGCCCAAGCUGUUAGAGCCCAGGAGCGUAUACUUUCCAGAUACCCCCUCCCCGGGACGCUCCUUCCUUCUGCCUGGCACAGUGAGAGACCCAAGACCUGAAGCUAGUAGCCAGGGGAUAUGGCUUCUGUCACCCACACUGUCUGGGUCCAACACCCUCCACUCUCAAAGAGAAUAAUUAGAUUCUUAGCCCCAGAGAAAGCAGGAGAAUCCUGCCCACCCCAGCCACACAUCAUUAGAAAGUAACUACAAAGCCCACCCUGCGGUGAGCAGAACGCAAAGUCAGGGCCAUGGGCUCUGGGGACUGACUGACUUUCUGUGCUGUGCACGUCGGGAGGAUGACCCUGGGUAGUAUUGAACCAAGGAGUCUUCGGUGAGGAAACCCGCGGCAUGGAGUGGAGAAAAGUAUUCCAGGCCUGCUGCCUGGGACUGAACCUCAGAAUUGACAGUGGCAGCCAACCUCAGAGAAUGCAGAGGACCACCAGGCUUGUGGUCCAGCCCUAAGCUGUCUGGGCCUCACUGUCACCCAGAUAUCAAGCAGGUGGGACUUCUACCUAGCAGUGGUUGAGAGAACUGGGUACCUGCUACAGGGACAGAGGUUUUGUGUCGGGCACUGUCAGGCAUCUUAAGGACUUACUCUUGUUCACAGAGAUGCUAAGGAUCCUAAGUAGCCAGGCUGAACAGCUUUGUGCCUUCCUCCUAAGGUUCCCAAGCUGCAGGUAUGCAAGCCCAGAGGCGACUAGCCACACUUCCAUAAUUCUUGCUGUGAAACUAGCAUAAGAGCCAGCAUCUCCUAGUUUCUACAAGCACUAGAACAGUGCUCUGGACCACACAUGAGUCUGGUAAGAAUGUGGGAGCAUGAGAGCUAGACCCCAAGACCUGCAGGAAUGUCCCUGGGGGGGGGGGGACCAUAAGGAAUCACAAGGCAUGGGAUCAGUCUGCAGCAGGGGAUCUGGGGACCACCAUCACUUCCUCACUGAAGAAAGCCUUCCUUCUCAGAGAAGCCUCAGCACUUGGACCCCAGUAAGUUCCCAGAACUAGCCAACUCUGGUUGUGUCUGAGAUGAGCUAGGGAAGCAGGGUCCUGGGACAGGGUCCGGCAUGGGUGGGUAGCUGAGGUCUCUAAUGACACCACAAUUCCUAAACAGCUCUCUGGUCUCUUCUGCUCUCCUCUUGUGAGUCAGAGCCUGCAAGGGAAGCAAGGAAGAGUGCAAGUUCGAAGAGACUCGGCCUGGCCCCAAUGGUGCCGUCGCCUCCUGGAGAAGUAGAUUGCGUCUGAAAAUCAUACGGUGGCAGAUGUGAAUAAUGAGGCUACUCCCUGACUGGCUUGCCACUGGGCCAUGGUCAUACCCUGCCUCACUGUGUGACCUUCCUGUCUCUGGGCUCCAGAAUAGUCUGCUAGAUAUCAACAUUGGUGGGCUACCUCCUGAAAUUCCUCACAUCGUCAGACUCCAAGGCCUGUGAGCUGUGACUGAGGCAGGACAUGUACAACACACCAUUUCUCAUCUGAGAGUCGCAACUUGCACUGUCCCAACCUCCCCCCCGCCCCCGCCCACACUCUUGCUGGACAGUAAUGUAGCUAAGGGGAGCCAACUUUAAAGAGCCGGGCAGUGGUGGCACACACCUUUAAUCCCAGCACAUGGGAGGCAGAGGCAGGCAGAUUUCUGAGUUCAAGGCCAGCCUGGUAUAUGAGUGAGUUCCAGGACAGCCAGGGCUACACAGAGAAACCCUGACUCAACAACAACAACAACAACAACAACAAAGUAGAUGGUCUCAUUCUCUGAGCAGGCAUAAGGGACAGCGGAAUACGAGACCCCAUGUCUCUACUGAAUGGGUGAGGGAAGACAAGAGGCAGGAGAAUUUCAUAAUUUAUUUACUCAAGUCUUUUACAUAGCAUCGUCUUAGACAUCCCAUUGUGUAGAAGGUGCCAGUGAGUGAAGACCUGGCCGGUCACCAGAGAGUACCAGUCUAAGGGAAGUAAAGUUUGUCCACAGGGAGCCCCAUCUGAGGGGACACAGACUGUCCACAGGGAGCCCCAUCUGAGGGGACACAGACUGUCCACAGGGAGCCCCAUUUGAGGGGACACAGACUGUCCACAGGGAGGGAAGAGGCACAACCCUGGACCUGGGCUCCAGCCUAAGAGGGGAGACCGUUUCCCACCCUGGUGAAGAAAUAGAUGAAAACACAGACUUAGAAAUGGACCAUAACCUAAAGAGGAAAGGCCUGGCCUGGUGAAUAACUCUGUUCUCUUACUGGAAGAUAACUUCUUGCCCCUUCUGCCUGGCUGCCUGCAGCUCCUCUGUUUUACCACCCCAGGGAAGCAGCCUGGUGUAUCAUUUGGGUACACUCUCUCUCAAUGCAAAUGUCUCUCUGGGCUCCUGGGGACUGGGCCUGCUUGAUGGCCAGUGUCUGACACUGGCAGCUGGCAACAGGCACAGGGAGGAGAAUCUGCUCUCUUUGCAGUACCAGACUCCAUUCAGGCAAGAAGCCUGUCCCCACCCACUCCGAUAGCCUUCCAGCGAAGCCAUCUCAGACCGUAGGACUGCCUGGCAUCUGCAGAUCUGCUACUUUCUGGAACCCCAGCUGCCACUUGGUCUUGGAUGUCACCCAUGUCCCAGGCCUAGAAUAGUCAUCAAUGUCUUGAGCUGAAGUAUAUAGACAUUUCUAUGUGUCCUGGUCACGUGAGGCUGCUCACAGCGCCCAGAGCAGGGCAGAAUACACAGCAGUCACCUGUAUACUUGUGAGCCAAGCCAACCACAGCAACCAACAAAAAUCGGCUUUGGACGAGGCCUGAAUCACCCAGUUGAAGUUUGGAUUAGGGGCUAAUGCAAAUGCCCGUCUUUUAAGAAGAUGUGUCUGAGUCUUAUGCAGCCUGGUGAAGCUGAUUCUUGGAGAAAGGAAUCAACUAGAUGAGGGGCAGGCGUCCAUCGGAAGCUCUGGGAUAUGCAGGUUGCAGAGACGGUAGGCGCCCCCAUUGCUUCCUGCUUUUGGGAUGUGGCUGGGCAAGAAGAGGUCAGGCCAGGCAUCUCUUCCUGCAUGAGCAGACUGAGAGGGGGUGUCUGUCCUCUGGCUUCUGGGGCCCCAGUGGAAGUAUCCUGUUCCGCUGAGCUAGCUUUUCUCAGCCUCCCAGCAGGCUCUGCCAGAAGCAGGAUCAAAUGUUCCCCAGCUUAAAGAGAUGUCCCAGAAAGGGGACUGGUGAUACUGGGGUCACAGUCUGGGGGCUCAAGGACAGGCCCUGAGUUUCCCUUGCCUCUUUCUGUUUAACCUUCUACCUAACUGUCUUCUUUCUGUCCCCAGUCAUCCCUCCCUUGGAGACUGAACCCCAGGCUCACACUAGGCAAGCACUCGCCUACUAAGCUAUACCCAGGCUCUUUCCUCUUACAAAGUGGUCCAAGCUAGCCUUGAACUAUCUCUGUAGCCCAGGCAGACCAUGACUCAUUUGUGAUCUGAGAAUGAUGGGUUUGGGGGACAUGGAAAUUUGCAGCAGAUAUGGAGGGGCAGCUUGUAUGGACAUACAGCUGUAUACACACACACACACACACACACACACACACACACACACACACACACACACGGAAAAGGCAUGGCAUUUCCUGCAGGGGGCGCCAUUCACACAGAUUCCACAGGACCAGAGCGGUCCCUAGCCCCACCAAGCAUUGAAAGUAUGGGGCCACUCCCUCUGCUUUGGUGUGACCUAGGCCAGCAUCACCCUAGCCAGAGCCUCAUCACCUGCUUCUCUCUACAAUACAAUUCAACCCUAGGGACACGUGGGCCUGUGCCCCUCCCCCUCCGGUCCCCCUGGCCUGUCUCCUGCCUGACUCCACAAGAUGUGCUGGGUCUGCUAGUGUCCAGGGAGGGUUGGAAAUGCUGGAGUCCCCUGCCACAGGCCAAGCAGUUCAGAAAGCUCAGAGCCCAGGGGACUUACUGUUCUUUUAAUUAACUAGUCUCAUUGUUUGGCUCCGGUUCUUACAGGGAAUCCCCCAGUGCCUACCAGAGGGGAUAUGGAACAUUAAGAUUCAGGCAUGGCUGCAGGGAUGGAAGGGACCAACAGCUCAGCCCUUUGAAGAUAAUCCAGCCUGUUUAUUGCAUACUCUUUCUCUACCCCUACUUAAGGGCUUUCUGGGGCACCAGUGGGUUAAAAUGCCGCAGCCCAGACUAAAAACCACUUGCCUUCAUAGACCCCCCUCCAUCAUCUCUUUGGAGGCUGCAGGGUACUAAAGAAUAGAGAGGCUUAGCCACAGCCUUAAUACAACACAGCUAGUUACCAUGUAGCAACACUGGCAGCCAAGCCAGAGACUGACUAUUGAAAGCCUUUUGUUUCAGUGAAGUUUGUUCUUUUUUUAAAAGCUGUAUUUGUUUUUGUGUUAUGUGUGUGUAAAUAAAUGUACUACAUGCACACUUGGUGCCGUAUAUA